CCCCUCUCAGGUUCGCACCUGGAGAGUUUCCAGAACUCUACGUGCCUUGACUAUGGGAGGGAGAGUCAAGCAGAGGCAUAUCCAUUCCAUUCCUAGCAUGAGCAGUGGCUAGCAAGUGGAAGGCACUUUGCUACAAGU
Ornithorhynchus anatinus (platypus) is the source of this 138-nucleotide non-coding RNA. The record is from Rfam. Lineage: Eukaryota; Metazoa; Chordata; Mammalia; Monotremata; Ornithorhynchidae.